UCCAGACUCCUACGGGAGGCAGCAGUUUGGAAUUUUGGACAAUGGGCGAAAGCCUGAUCCAGCGACGCCGCGUGGACGAUGAAGGCCUUCGGGUUGUAAAGUCCUUUUGCUCGGGAACAAUUUUUGAGCGUACCGAGAGAAUAAGAGGUUGCUAACUCUGUGCCAGCAGCAGCGGUAAUACAGAGACCUCAAGCGUUAUCCGGAAUCAUUGGGCGUAAAGCGUUCCGAUAGGUGGUUUUACAAGUCAGAAGUGAAAUCUCUCAGCUCAACUGGGAGACUGUCUUUUGAUACUGUAAAACUAGAGGGGCAAAGAGGAAGCUGGAACAAACGGUGUAGUAGUGAAAUGCGUUGAUAUCGUUUGGAACACCAAUAGCGUAGGCAGGCUUCUGGGUGCCACCUGACACUGCUAGGACGAAAGCGUGGGGAGCGAUAAGGAUUAGAUACCCUUGUAGUCCACGCUGUAAACGAUGCACAUUAGGUGCUAGGGAGUAUCGACCCUCCUUAGUACCAUAGCUAACGCGUUAAAUGUGCCGCCUGGGGAGUACGGCCGCAAGGCUAAAACUCAAAGGAAUGACGAAGGGCG
Molecule: ribosomal RNA, 583 nt
Filed under: uncultured bacterium
Lineage: Bacteria
Description: bacterial SSU rRNA
Rfam family: Bacterial small subunit ribosomal RNA
Source: RNAcentral